Molecule: microRNA precursor, 193 nt
Filed under: Oryza barthii
Lineage: Eukaryota; Viridiplantae; Streptophyta; Magnoliopsida; Poales; Poaceae
Description: MIR812 microRNA precursor family
Rfam family: MIR812 microRNA precursor family
Source: Rfam by way of RNAcentral
AAAAAGACAAACCCUGGUUUCCGUGUCCAACGUUUGUCCAUCCGUCUUAUUUAAAAAAAAUUAAAAGACAAGUCAUGCAUAAAGUAUUAAUCAUGUUUUAUCAUCUAACAACAAUGAAAAUACUAAUUAUAAAAAAAAUCAUAUAAGACGGACAAACAAAUAUUUGACACGGAAAUCCAGUGUUUGUCUUUUU